AUGACCCUGCUGCAGGUGGAUGGGCUCGGCGGGGCUGAAAUCCCCCCACACAGAUCCGUGGCCUCCUAUGAGCUGACUCAGCCACCCUCAGUGUCCGUGUCCCCAGGACAGACAGCCAGCAUCACCUGCUCUGGAGAUAAAUUGGGGGAUAAAUAUGCUUGCUGGUAUCAGCAGAAGCCAGGCCAGUCCCCUGUGCUGGUCAUCUAUCAAGAUAGCAAGCGGCCCUCAGGGAUCCCUGAGCGAUUCUCUGGCUCCAACUCUGGGAACACAGCCACUCUGACCAUCAGCGGGACCCAGGCUAUGGAUGAGGCUGACUAUUACUGUCAGGCGUGGGACAGCAGCACUGCA
This is a non-coding RNA of Homo sapiens (human), 348 nucleotides long. The record is from the annotation of a RefSeq genome assembly. NCBI's taxonomy places the organism in Eukaryota, Metazoa, Chordata, Mammalia, Primates, Hominidae.